AAACCAGCACCUCAAGUGGUCAGGAUGAUUAUUGGGCCUAAAGCAUCCGUAGCCGGCUCUGUAAGUUUUCGGUUAAAUCUGUACGCUCAACGUACAGGCUGCCGGGAAUACUGCAGGGCUAGGGAGUGGGAGAGGUAGACGGUACUCGGGAGGAAGGGGUAAAAUCCUUUGAUCUCUCGAUGACCACCUGUGGCGAAGGCGGUCUACCAGAACACGUCCGACGGUGAGGGAUGAAAGCUGGGGGAGCAAACCGGAUUAGAUACCCCUGUAGUCC
This 274-nucleotide ribosomal RNA is filed under the name uncultured bacterium. Its description in RNAcentral is "partial 16S ribosomal RNA". It matches the Rfam family "Archaeal small subunit ribosomal RNA", at positions 473 to 747 of the family's 1478-position model. The record is from RNAcentral.